Molecule: ribosomal RNA, 253 nt
Filed under: uncultured bacterium
Lineage: Bacteria
Description: partial 16S ribosomal RNA
Rfam family: Bacterial small subunit ribosomal RNA
Source: RNAcentral
UACGCAGGGUGCAAGCGUUACUCGGAAUUACUGGGCGUAAAGGGCGUGUAGGCGGUACCAUAAGUCAGAUGUGAAAGCCCUAGGCUUAACCUAGGAGGUGCAUUUGAUACUAUGGAACUAGAGAUCGAGAGAGGAAAGUGGAAUUACGAGUGUAGAGGUGAAAUUCGUAGAUAUUCGUAAGAACACCAGUGGCGAAGGCGACUUUCUGGCUCGAUACUGACGCUAAGGCGCAAAAGCGUGGGGAGCAAACAGG